Molecule: transfer RNA, 72 nt
Filed under: Ovis aries (sheep)
Lineage: Eukaryota; Metazoa; Chordata; Mammalia; Artiodactyla; Bovidae
Rfam family: tRNA
About the family: Transfer RNA (tRNA) molecules are approximately 80 nucleotides in length.
Source: Rfam by way of RNAcentral
UCCCUGGUGGCUCAGAUGGUAAAGCGUCUGCCUACAAUGCGGGAGGCCCGGGUUCAAUUCCUGGGUUGGGAA